RNAcentral lists this ribosomal RNA (443 nucleotides) under uncultured bacterium. RNAcentral's name for it is "partial 16S ribosomal RNA". It matches the Rfam family "Bacterial small subunit ribosomal RNA", at positions 338 to 795 of the family's 1533-position model. The record is from RNAcentral.
CCUACGGGUGGCAGCAGUGAGGAAUAUUGGUCAAUGGGCGCAAGCCUGAACCAGCCAAGUCGCGUGAGGGAUGACGGUCUUCGGAUUGUAAAGUUCUGUGAUGGGGGAUGAACACAAUGACGGUACCCCAAUAGCAAGCCACGGCUAACUACGUGCCAGCAGCCGCGGUCAUACGUAGGUGGCAAGCGUUAUCCGGAAUGACUGGGCGUAAAGGGUGCGUAGGUGGUUUAGUAAGUUGGCGGUGUAAUUCCGGGGCUCAACCUCGGCGCUACCGCCAAAACUAUUAGACUAGAGUGCAGGAGGGGUAAGUGGAAUUCGUAGUGUAGCGGUGGAAUGCGUAGAUAUUAGGAGGAACCUCAGGGGCGAAGGCGACUUACUGGACUGUAACUGACACUGAGGCACGAAAGCGUGGGGAGCGAACAGGAUUAGAUACCCCGGUAGUC